CUAUGCUGCCACUGAUCUGACAGGAGGUGGAGCUUAGGUGGUAAAGCUGGCUGUCUCGCCACUCACCUCCUGCUAUGCAGCCUGGUUCCUAGCAGGCUACUUACAAGUCCACACCCCUAUUAUAAAGUAUAAUUGAGCAGCAACAUCAUGGAAUCAUGGAACAAUACUUGACUUUCUAGGGGGAAGUGUGAAGGAGUGAAGAGGACAGAGAUGGGGUUUCACCAUGUUGUCCAGGCUGGUCUCGAACUCCUAAGCUGAAGCAACAUGCCUGCCUAGGCCUCCCGAAGUGCUGAGAUUACAAGAAUGAGCCACCACACCCAGCCAAGGAUUUUGACUCUUAUCCUAUGAAUAAUGAGAAGCUGCUGGAGUGUUUUAAACUAGCAAGAAAACUAACAAAGUUUGCAUGUUGGAAAAUGUGCUUGGCAAUAAGCCAUUUCCAGCUUCUGGUAAUCAUUCUAUUCUCUACUUCAAUGAGAUCAACUUCUGUGGCUCCCACAUAUGCCUGAGAACAGAUGCUGGUUACGUGAGUGUGCUCACUUUGAUUUGUGUGUGUUCCUGUACGUUAUACUUCAAUACAUUUUAUUGACAACUCCGGUUGGUGACACAGAUAUAAUUAUGCAUAAAAUAAAACAAAUAAAAUACGUACCCCACAACAAACACUACCAGUGUCCACGUGCCUAGGCUGCGCCUUGGGACUAGCCUGCUCAACCUACCACUGACACCACUGGCACCCAUGUGCAAUGUCAGGGUGCCUGAAAACUGGUCUUCCAUGAUCCACAUUCACCACCUAGGGACCUGAGCACUAGCCUGUCCAGUCUGCCACUGCUACCACAGUGUAUGCACACCCAGUCCAGCUCGCAGAGACUGGCCUGCCCAGGACAUACUACUAACACCAGUGCCUGGAUACACAAUAUAGGGGUCUUGAGAAACAUGCUCCCUGGCUCUCUUGAGAAACAUGUCCCCAGCAAAGCCUUACUACAGCCUCUACAAACAAGCACAGCCUAAGCCAUUAGGAACAUGCGGACACCACUGACAUUGAUUAUAGCCAAAGAAAUCAUACAGAAACUACACUACAGUGCCCACUAAUAACCAAAGCCAAAGUAUCUUAUCCAAGUGGCAUUAUGAAAAAAAAAAUCUACAGGAAAAAUCUGUUUCUUUAUGGAAGCUACUCAAUAAAAUUAAAAGAAGUGACGGUUACAAGAAAUGUAUGGAUGUAAAUGAAAACAUAAGAAACAUGAGAAAGCAAGGAAACAUGACACCUCCAAAGGAAUAAAAUAAUUCUUCAGUAACAGACUCCAAAUAAAAGAAAAUCUGUGAAAUGCCUGAAAAAUAAUUCAAAAUGAAGACAUUAAGGAAAAUCAGUGAGAUGCAAGAGCACACAAAUAAAAAAUACAGAUAAAUCAUGAAAACAAUUUAUAAUCAAAGAGAAAUUUAAUAGAGAUAGAUACUCUAAAAAAAGAACCAAAUAGAAACCCCAGAACUGAAGGAUUUAAUGAUUGAAACAGAAAUACGUCAUCAAGAUUGUAAACAAUAAACAGGAGCAAGAAGAAGAGAAGAUUUCUGAAUUUCAAUACAGGUCAUUUGAAAUAACCUAUUCAGAUAAAAAGAAAGAUAGAUUAAAAAAAGAAUGAAGAAAACCUAUGUGACAUAUGGAACACAAUUAAGUGAAUAGAUAUUGAUUUUUGGGAUUUCCAUAAGGAGAAGAGAUUUUCUUAAAAGUCGUAGAACCCCAAUUUAAUAAAGUAAUAGCUAAAAACUUCCCAAGUCUUAGGAAAGUGUAAACAUCCAAAUACAGAAAAUGAAAAGAUCUCCAAACAGAUCCCAGCCCAAGAAUUCCUCUCUAAGGCACAUUACAGUGAAGCUGUCGAAGUCACAGACAAAAAGAGAAUUCUAAAAACAUAUUACUGGAAGUCCUAGCAAGAGCAGUUAGGGAAGAGAAAGAAAUAAAGGGCUUCCAAAUGGGAAAUGAAAAAUUCAAGUUGUCCCUGUUAGCAGACAAUAUGAUAUUAUAUUAAGAAAACCCUAAAAACUAUAUUAAAAAACUGUUAGAACUGAUUAAAAACUCAGAUAAGUUGCAGGAUGUAAAUCAACAUUCAAAAAUCAGUAGCAUAUCCAACAAUGAACAAUUAGGAAGAAAAUAAAUAAAUCAAUCCCAUUUACAACUACAAAAAUACCUAGAAAUAAAUCUAAUCCAAGGAGUAAAAAAAAAAAAAAAAUCUCUCCAAGAAAAACUAUGAAAUGAUGAAAAAAAUUGAAGAAGGUAUACAAGAAAUGGAAAGAUGUCCCAUGUUUAUGUAUUGGAAGAAUUAAUAUUGUUAAAAUGUCCAUACUACCCAAAGCAAUCUAUAUAUUCAAUGGAAUCUCUCUCAAAAUACUAGCAUUCUUCACAGAAGCAGAAAAAAACAAUCCUAAAGUGUUUAAGGAAUCAUAAAAGACCAAAAAUAGCCAAAGCAAAUUCUGAGCAAAAUGAACAAAACCGGAGGCAUCAUGCUACCUGACUUCAAAAUAUAGUACAAACCAACAGGAACCAAAACAACAUCAUAACUAACUGGCCUAAAAACAGACAGCAAUCCCAAUAUUGGGUAUAUAUCCAAAAGAAAGGAAAUUGAUAUAUUGAGACAUCUGCACUCCCAUGUUUAUCACAG
RNAcentral lists this long non-coding RNA (2645 nucleotides) under Homo sapiens (human). RNAcentral's name for it is "HSALNT0343199". Lineage: Eukaryota; Metazoa; Chordata; Mammalia; Primates; Hominidae. The record is from RNAcentral.